UAAUACAUGCAAGUAGAACGCAGAGGUCAGGUGCUUGCACUGGACUGAUGAGUUGCGAACGGGUGAGUAACGCGUAGGUAACCUACCUGAUAGCGGGGGAUAACUAUUGGAAACGAUAGCUAAUACCGCAUAAAAGUGAAUGACCCAUGUCAUUGACUUGAAAGAAGCAAACGCUUCACUAUGAGAUGGACCUGCGUUGUAUUAGCUAGUUGGUAGGGUAAAGGCCUACCAAGGCGACGAUACAUAGCCGACCUGAGAGGGUGAACGGCCACACUGGGACUGAGACACGGCCCAGACUCCUACGGGAGGCAGCAGUAGGGAAUCUUCGGCAAUGGGGGGAACCCUGACCGAGCAACGCCGCGUGAGUGAAGAAGGUUUUCGGAUCGUAAAGCUCUGUUGUUAGAGAAGAACAGUGAUGGGAGUGGAAAGUCCAUCAUUUGACGGUAACUAACCAGAAAGGGACGGCUAACUACGUGCCAGCAGCCGCGGUAAUACGUAGGUCCCGAGCGUUGUCCGGAUUUAUUGGGCGUAAAGCGAGCGCAGGCGGUUUAAUAAGUCUGAAGUUAAAGGCAGUGGCUUAACCAUUGUAUGCUUUGGAAACUGUUAAACUUGAGUGCAGAAGGGGAGAGUGGAAUUCCAUGUGUAGCGGUGAAAUGCGUAGAUAUAUGGAGGAACACCGGUGGCGAAAGCGGCUCUCUGGUCUGUAACUGACGCUGAGGCUCGAAAGCGUGGGGAGCAAACAGGAUUAGAUACCCUGGUAGUCCACGCCGUAAACGCUGAGUGCUAGGUGUUAGGCCCUUUCCGGGGCUUAGUGCCGUA
This 819-nucleotide ribosomal RNA is filed under the name Streptococcus equi subsp. zooepidemicus. Its description in RNAcentral is "bacterial SSU rRNA". It matches the Rfam family "Bacterial small subunit ribosomal RNA", at positions 49 to 850 of the family's 1533-position model. The record is from RNAcentral. Lineage: Bacteria; Bacillati; Bacillota; Bacilli; Lactobacillales; Streptococcaceae.